Molecule: ribosomal RNA, 252 nt
Filed under: uncultured bacterium
Lineage: Bacteria
Description: partial 16S ribosomal RNA
Rfam family: Bacterial small subunit ribosomal RNA
Source: RNAcentral
UACGUAGGGUGCAAGCGUUGUCCGGAAUUAUUGGGCGUAAAGAGCUCGUAGGCGCUUGUCACGUCGCUGUGAAAACCUGGGGCUCAACCCCGGGCCUGCAGCCGAUACGGGCAAGCUAGAAUUCGGUAGGGGAGACUGGAAUUCCUGGUGUAGCGGUGAAAUGCGCAGAUAUCAGGAGGAACACCGGUGGCGAAGGCGGUCUGCCUGGGCAGUAGCUGACGCUGAGGAGCGAAAGCGUGGGGAGCGAACAGG